AUGCAAGUCGAACGAUGAACCCCGCUUGCGGGGGGAUUAGUGGCGAACGGGUGAGUAACACGUGAGUAACCUGCCCUUAACUCUGGGAUAAGCCUUGGAAACGGGGUCUAAUACUGGAUAUUGACUUUUCCUCGCAUGGGGAUUGGUUGAAAGAUUUAUUGGUUUUGGAUGGACUCGCGGCCUAUCAGCUUGUUGGUGAGGUAAUGGCUCACCAAGGCGACGACGGGUAGCCGGCCUGAGAGGGUGACCGGCCACACUGGGACUGAGACACGGCCCAGACUCCUACGGGAGGCAGCAGUGGGGAAUAUUGCACAAUGGGCGAAAGCCUGAUGCAGCGACGCCGCGUGAGGGAUGACGGCCUUCGGGUUGUAAACCUCUUUCAGUAGGGAACAAGGCCAGUGUUUAGCUGGUUGAGGGUACUUGCAGAAGAAGCGCCGGCUAACUACGUGCCAGCAGCCGCGGUAAUACGUAGGGCGCAAGCGUUAUCCGGAAUUAUUGGGCGUAAAGAGCUCGUAGGCGGUUUGUCGCGUCUGCCGUGAAAGUCCGGGGCUCAACCCCGGAUCUGCGGUGGGUACGGGCAGACUAGAGUGAUGUAGGGGAGACUGGAAUUCCUGGUGUAGCGGUGAAAUGCGCAGAUAUCAGGAGGAACACCGAUGGCGAAGGCAGGUCUCUGGGCAUUAACUGACGCUGAGGAGCGAAAGCAUGGAGAGCGAACAGGAUUAGAUACCCUGGUAGUCCAUGCCGUAGACGUUGGGCACUAGGUGUGGGGGACAUUCCACGUUUUCCGCGCCGUAGCUAACGCAUUAAGUGCCCCGCCUGGGGAGUACGGCCGCAAGGCUAAAACUCAGAGGAAUUGACGGGGGCCCGCACAAGCGGCGGAGCAUGCGGAUUAAUUCGAUGCAACGCGAAG
RNAcentral lists this ribosomal RNA (910 nucleotides) under Arthrobacter psychrolactophilus. RNAcentral's name for it is "bacterial SSU rRNA". It matches the Rfam family "Bacterial small subunit ribosomal RNA", at positions 55 to 966 of the family's 1533-position model. Lineage: Bacteria; Bacillati; Actinomycetota; Actinomycetes; Micrococcales; Micrococcaceae. The record is from RNAcentral.